GGGAGCUUGCUCCCUGAUCUUAGCGGCGGACGGGUGAGUAACACGUGGGCAACCUGCCCUGCAGACUGGGAUAACUCCGGGAAACCGGAGCUAAUACCGGGUAAUACAUCGCACCGCAUGGUGCAAUGUUGAAAGUUGGCCUUUGGCUAACACUGCAGGAUGGGCCCGCGGCGCAUUAGCUAGUUGGUAAGGUAACGGCUUACCAAGGCGACGAUGCGUAGCCGACCUGAGAGGGUGAUCGGCCACACUGGGACUGAGACACGGCCCAGACUCCUACGGGAGGCAGCAGUAGGGAAUCUUCCGCAAUGGACGAAAGUCUGACGGAGCAACGCCGCGUGAGUGACGAAGGCCUUCGGGUCGUAAAGCUCUGUUGUUAGGGAAGAACAAGUACCGUUCGAAUAGGGCGGUACCUUGACGGUACCUAACCAGAAAGCCACGGCUAACUACGUGCCAGCAGCCGCGGUAAUACGUAGGUGGCAAGCGUUGUCCGGAAUUAUUGGGCGUAAAGCGCGCGCAGGCGGUCUUUUAAGUCUGAUGUGAAAGCCCACGGCUCAACCGUGGAGGGUCAUUGGAAACUGGAGGACUUGAGUGCAGAAGAGGAGAGUGGAAUUCCACGUGUAGCGGUGAAAUGCGUAGAUAUGUGGAGGAACACCAGUGGCGAAGGCGGCUCUCUGGUCUGUAACUGACGCUGAGGCGCGAAA
Molecule: ribosomal RNA, 701 nt
Filed under: Guptibacillus hwajinpoensis
Lineage: Bacteria; Bacillati; Bacillota; Bacilli; Caryophanales; Guptibacillaceae
Description: bacterial SSU rRNA
Rfam family: Bacterial small subunit ribosomal RNA
Source: RNAcentral